GCACGUGGAACCCGGCGUGAAUCUGGGAGGACCAUCUUCCAAGGCUAAGUACUCCUCGACGACCGAUAGUGAACAAGUACCGUGAGGGAAAGGUGAAAAGCACCCCGGCAAGGGGAGUGAAAUAGUACCUGAAACCGUGUGUCUACAAGCAGUUGAAGCACUAUGUAUUCGUACAGUGCGACAGCGUACCUUUUGCAUCAUGGGCCUGCGAGUUACGCUAUGUCGCAAGGUUAAGCCGUGAGGUGUAGCCGAAGGGAAACCGAGUCCAAAUAGGGCGAUUGAGUGGCAUGGCGUAGACCCGAACCCGAGCGAUCUAUCCAUGGGCAGGCUGAAGCGUGGGUAAAACACGUGGAGGCCGAACGUCACCACAGUUGAAAAAUGUAGGGUAGUAGUGACCUGUGGUAUCGGAGUUG
This 413-nucleotide ribosomal RNA is filed under the name uncultured bacterium. RNAcentral's name for it is "bacterial LSU rRNA". It matches the Rfam family "Bacterial large subunit ribosomal RNA", at positions 422 to 824 of the family's 2925-position model. The record is from RNAcentral.